GGGUUUUUGCCAUGUUGCCUAGGCUGGUCUCAAACCCCUGACCUCAAGUGAUCUGCCCGUCUUGGCCUCCCAAAGUGCUGGGGUUACAGGUGUGAGCCACUGUGCCUGGCCAGCUGCACUUCUUACUCUCCUCCUAAGAGAAGCCCGAUUUUGUUUUCAGAGUGCUCCUUGUGUGAACUGGGGUUGUGGGAAGGAGUGACAUUUCCCUUCCUUUGUUCAGACGGGGUGAAGACUUAACUUACAGGUAAGGGAGGCCCUUGACUGACGUGGGGUGGGAACUGUUUCGAGCUGUCCUUAUCUCUGGGCCUGUUUCCUGACCUGUGAGAUGGGCCUGUUUCCUGACCCGUGAAAUGAGAAGGUUGGGUGGGAUCAGUUUCCCAGGCUUGCCUGUGGUGAGUAGCCCCCGGAGUGCUCAUUCAAAAGCCACUCUGCUCUCCCGAAUGAGAAUGUUUAGGAGUGAACUCUGUCAUGAGCAGGCAUCCAAGUGAUCCUCCCCUUCAAGGAUGUUUGGGAAUGGUGGUCUGCACAGUCUCUAACAGAUCUUCCAACUCCAAAACUCCUGUCCCGGCUAUGUCUGGAAGGCAGUGACUCCUAACUAUUCCUGAGACCCAAAUGGCUUUGCAAGUCUUACAACAGCUGUGGAUGUUCUGUUUAGUAAAAACGUAUACAGACACAGAACUUCAAAUUCAGUUGCAGGGUCUGUGGCUUUUGAUUAAGAAUUCCUACUUUAAGGUUAACCCUUGAAAGAGAAUGUAAGCAUUCACUUGAGCCAGGCAUGAAGCAGCUGCUCACUAAAGGUCAGUUAUUAUGCUAUUUCUGUGUCUCAGCUUUUCUAUGAAAUUCUCAUAUUGUUGUCUCAUUGUAUAGGUGAGGACACUGAGGCAUAGAGAGAUUAACAUGCAUUGUAAGUUGUGGCUGAAUUUGAACUCAAACAGUCUGAUUCCAGAGCCAGUGUGAACUUAAAAUCUGGGCUGCCUGAUAAAGUGGUUAUCAGUUUUGCCUACUUGAAUUCAUGGCACUUUCUGCUCCUAAUAUUUCUGGCCACUUCCCUAUACCUCCUUAUAUUAGUCAUAAUUAAGUAAGCAGCUACUAUGGUAUGAGGCCACCACUUCUCCUGUUGUCCUUCCCAGUUUCUCCCCAACCUCCCCUUUUCCCUAGUUUAUAAGACAGGAGAAAAGGGAGAAAGCAAAAAGUUGGAAAGAAACAGAAGUAAGAUAAAUAGCUAGACGACCUUGGCACCACCACCUGGCCCUGGUGGUUAAAAUAAUAAUAAUAUUAACCCCUGACCAAAACUACUGGUGUUAUCUGUAAAUUCCAGAUGUUGUAUGAGAAAGCA
This 1336-nucleotide long non-coding RNA is filed under the name Homo sapiens (human). RNAcentral describes it as "HSALNT0041294". Lineage: Eukaryota; Metazoa; Chordata; Mammalia; Primates; Hominidae. The record is from RNAcentral.